This 269-nucleotide ribosomal RNA is filed under the name uncultured bacterium. RNAcentral's name for it is "partial 16S ribosomal RNA". It matches the Rfam family "Bacterial small subunit ribosomal RNA", at positions 332 to 600 of the family's 1533-position model. The record is from RNAcentral.
UGGACCUACGGGAGGCAGCAGUGAGGAAUAUUGGUCAAUGGUCGGGAGACUGAACCAGCCAAGCCGCGUGAAGGAGGAAGGUACAGAGUAUCGUAAACCUCUUUUGUCAGGGAACAAAGACUGGGACGCGUCCCCGGAUGAGUGUACCUGAAGAAAAAGCAUCGGCUAACUCCGUGCCAGCAGCCGCGGUAAUACGGAGGAUGCGAGCGUUAUCCGGAUUUACUGGGUGUAAAGGGAGCGUAGACGGCGAGGCAAGGCUGAAGUGAAAA